RNAcentral lists this ribosomal RNA (764 nucleotides) under uncultured archaeon. RNAcentral's name for it is "bacterial SSU rRNA". It matches the Rfam family "Archaeal small subunit ribosomal RNA", at positions 87 to 839 of the family's 1478-position model. The record is from RNAcentral.
GGCUCAGUAACACGUAGUCAACCUACCUUAAGGACGGGGAUACCCUCGGGAAACUGAGGUGAAACCCCGAUGGGCCAGGAAAUCUGGAAUGAUUCCUGGUUUAAACAGCGCGCGAAACGCAGCGUUGCUGCCUUAAGAUGGGACUGCGGCCGAUCAGGCUGUUGGUGAGGUAACGGCUCACCAAACCUAUAAUCGGUAGGGGCUAUGGGAGUAGGAGCCCCGAGACGGGCACUGAGACAAGGGCCCGAGCCCUACGGGGUGCAGCAGGCGCGAAACUUCCGCAAUGCGCGAAAGCGUGACGGGGGUAGUCCGAGUGCCGUCCUAACGGACGGCUUUUAGCGAGCCUGAUACGCUCGUUGAAUAAGUGGUGGGUAAAUCCUGUGCCAGCCGCCGCGGUAACACAGGUAGCACAAGUGGUAUCCACGAAUAUUGAGCUUAAAGCGCCCGUAGCCGGCUCGUCAAGUUUCCUGUGAAAUCUUCAGGCUUAACCUGAAGGCGUGCAAGAAAUACUAACGGGCUCGGGAGUGGGGGAGGCAUGGGGUACUGUAGGGGGAGGAGUAAAAUCCUGUAAUCCUUGCAGGACCGCCAGUGGCGAAAGCGCCAUGCCAAAACACGUCCGACGGUGAGGGACGAAAGCUAGGGGAGCAAAUCGGGUUAGAUACCCGAGUAGUCCUAGCAGUAAAUGAUGCAGACUUGGCGUCGCAUCCGCUUCGUGCGGAUGCGUGCCGUAGGGAAACCGUUAAGUCUGCCGCUUGGGGAGUACG